AUUAAGGGCUGAUUGCUCAACAGCUGUACAAGUCCCAUAAAGCUGCCAGAAGAACAGCACACAGGGGAGAGAGUGGGGGAAGAAAGGACUCCCAUAUAGUUGGGGACAGUUGCAGAGGUAACAGGAGUGAGUUCAGUUUUUGAUCCCCACAGGAUACAGCAAGACCCGGAGACAAGAAGAAGAUAUCGUCUCAUGGGGGAGAUCUAUUCUUUUCUUUUGAACUAUUAUUUUAGUAAACACCUUUGAAACUGAGUUCAUCCUACUCUGUCCGUGUCUGAUCUGUGUAAACGUUUUGACCCAACCCCUGGUAUGCCACAAGUGGUGGAGAAUGCGGGCAUUCUGAUAACGUGGUCAGAUCAGGGUUGACGUUUACACAGCAUCAGCAUGGACGAGAUGACAGCUCAGUUCGUCCGGGCCCAACAAGCACAACAUUCUGUUCAGGAACGAACGCUGGAGGAACAGCGACUACAAAACAUCCGCCUCGUUGAGGACAUCAGGAAGCAGCAAGGAGGAGCGUCUCCUGAAUUACAUCCCAACCUGUUUUUAAUCAAGCUAACGGAAGACGAUGACAUCGAAACAUACCUCUGUACGUUUGAACGGACAGCGCUACGGGAAGGAUGGCCAAGGCCGAAGUGGGCAAGUCUGCUGACCCCGUUCCUCUCUGGGAAUGCCCAAAAGGUGUAUUGAGACCUGAAUGACAAACAGGCAGCUAACUACGACGGACUCAAACGGGAGAUACUCAGCCGCUACGGGUACAGCCUGGCCCAUCGGGCUCAACUGUUCAAUGACUGGAGGUUCGUACCCGACACAUCCCCCCGAGCCCAGAUGAGCAACCUACUGCGCGUCACCAGGGCAUGGCUCCUAACCAACAUAUCCACCCUCUCCAUCCUCGAUAAAGUGGUCCUGGAUCGCUACCCCUGACAUGAAGAGGGCAGUGAGUCUAUGUGCGCCCCAGACCUUGGAGCGCCUACUGGAAGCAGUGGCGACGUAUCAGAACACUCAGGCCCUGCUGAGUGGGAGCCGGGCCGUGUCGGCGACCCGUUCGAGGAGACAGAAGGACAGCCCCACCGCUGUGUACCCCAAACCGACAGUCGGCAGAGUGAAAGGACCGCAAACCCAUGGAGAUGGCUGGGAUAGGGCCGAACCGCCACCGACGACCUCAGUUAGAUGAGACCAAAGGAGGUGUUUUGAGUGUGGCGCCCGUGGGCACAUUGCCUGGAAUUGCCCGGCUCGAGAGGAGUCGAUGCCAUCAGCAAGCCCCGGAGGCGAGGUGGGUCACGCUGUGAAUUAUGUCACCUCCUGUUGGGCGCACCGCGAAUCAACUGCACCCAUGGUCCUGGUGAAGGUUGACGGACACAAUACGGAAGCUCUAUUAGACUCCGGAAGUAUGGUUACGCUCGUAACCACGAGCCUGCUGAACCAGGAGACCGAACGGGGUAGGGAGAUGUCCAUUUCCUGUGUUCACGGUGACACAAAGCGGUAUCCAACCGUACGGACCAACAUCGUGACACCACAAGGGAGCUGCAGUACCUGGGUGCAGUACCAGAGUUGCCGGUACCUCUCCUAGUGGGACGGGAUUGUCCGCUGUUCACGGCCCCAUGGGGUCACGAGCUGAAGAAAAAGAUACGAGCCGGCCGAAGAAGAGAGCGGGGACGAGCCAUUGCCUGUGCAACACGGAAACAACCGGUUGACCAACCUGUAUCUACGGGUCCGGAGUCGGAGGGGGCGCCGGAACCUGAUCCCCCACCCCCCUCCUCGAUUUCGAGGGGCCAGUCGAGACACUCGCUGGGGGCCGACUGAGGGGACAAUUCGGGACGGCCCAGUGGGAGGAUCCGAACUUGAAAGCCUUCGCAGCCCAAGUGAUAGCGGUGGAUGGACAGCUACUUCUAGGCGUGAGUAACUGGCGAUACCCCCAUUUCCAAAUCAAGAAUAACCUUUUGUAUCAGGUGUCGCGCCAACAGGGGGAACUUCGAGCGGUAUUGUUACUGCCCCGACGGUACAUGGGAACCAUUCUUCAGCUGGCCCACACCCACCUGUUGGGGAUGCACCUGGGAAUGGAGAAGACCCGAGAAUGGAUCGCCGCCCGGUUCCACUGGCCCGGGAUGAGGAGGGCUGUGGAUAACUACUGUCGCAGGUGCCCGGAGUGUCAACUCCCUGCCCCAAAAGCACACUGCCGAAACCCACUGGUCCCCCUACCGAUUAUCGGGGUGCCCUUUGAACGCAUCGCCAUGGAUAUAGUUGGACCCCUGGUAAAAACAGCACAAGGACACCAGUACAUCCUUGCGAUAGUAGAUUAUGCCACCCGGUAUCCCGAGGACAUUCCCCUAUGGCCAGCGUUAUCCAAGGGAAUCGCCCGGGAGCUGUUCCACCUCUUUAGCCAGAUCAAACGGAUCCAGACCUCCGUCUUUCACCCGCAGACGGAUGGGCUCGUUGAGCGCUUCAAUAAAAUGCUCAAACAAAUGCUGCGGACGGUCAUCAAGCAGGACGGGAAGAACUGCAAUCAGCUACUACCCCACCUAAUGUGGUAAGUUCCUGACAACAUGGCACGGGCCGUACGAGGUGAUCGAGAAGCUGGGACCUGUCAAUUACUGCGUACGGGGACGGUUGCAGAGUUGGGGACGGUUGCAGAGGUAACAGGAGUGAGUUCAGUUUUUGAUCCCCACAGGAUACAGCAAGACCCGGAGCCAACAUCCAAGAAGACAACAUCCCGGAGAGGGUCUCAUGGGGGAGACCUAUUCUUUUCUUUUGAAC
This is a long non-coding RNA of Oncorhynchus tshawytscha (Chinook salmon), 2751 nucleotides long. The record is from Ensembl. NCBI's taxonomy places the organism in Eukaryota, Metazoa, Chordata, Actinopteri, Salmoniformes, Salmonidae.